GGAUAGCUCAGUUGGUUAGAGCGUGGUGCUGAUAACACCAAGGUUGCAAGUUCGAUUCUCAUAUGGGAUGCA
RNAcentral lists this transfer RNA (72 nucleotides) under Podarcis lilfordi (Lilford's wall lizard). Its description in RNAcentral is "tRNA.Ile". The stretch from base 4 to 62 matches the Rfam family "tRNA", at positions 8 to 63 of the family's 71-position model. Rfam says of the family: Transfer RNA (tRNA) molecules are approximately 80 nucleotides in length. The record is from RNAcentral. Lineage: Eukaryota; Metazoa; Chordata; Lepidosauria; Squamata; Lacertidae.